UACGAAGGGGGCUAGCGUUGCUCGGAAUGACUGGGCGUAAAGGGCGCGUAGGCGGAUGGCACAGUCAGAUGUGAAAUUCCCGGGCUUAACCUGGGGGCUGCAUUUGAUACGUGUUGUCUUGAGUUCGGAAGAGGGUCGUGGAAUUCCCAGUGUAGAGGUGAAAUUCGUAGAUAUUGGGAAGAACACCGGUGGCGAAGGCGGCGACCUGGUCCUUUACUGACGCUGAGGCGCGAAAGCGUGGGGAGCAAACAGG
RNAcentral lists this ribosomal RNA (253 nucleotides) under uncultured bacterium. Its description in RNAcentral is "partial 16S ribosomal RNA". It matches the Rfam family "Bacterial small subunit ribosomal RNA", at positions 524 to 776 of the family's 1533-position model. The record is from RNAcentral.